GGUGAUGGCGCCGGGGCGGCACGAGAAACCGCUCCGGUGUAAACCACGAGUCCCGUCCAAAGUCGGG
RNAcentral lists this non-coding RNA (67 nucleotides) under unclassified sequences. The record is from RNAcentral.